AUUGAACGCUGGCGGCAGGCUUAACACAUGCAAGUCGAGCGGGGGAAGGUAGCUUGCUACCGGACCUAGCGGCGGACGGGUGAGUAAUGCUUAGGAAUCUGCCUAUUAGUGGGGGACAACAUCUCGAAAGGGAUGCUAAUACCGCAUACGUCCUACGGGAGAAAGCAGGGGAUCUUCGGCCCUUGCGCUAAUAGAUGAGCCUAAGUCGGAUUAGCUAGUUGGCGGGGUAAAGGCCUACCAAGGCGACGAUCUGUAGCGGGUCUGAGAGGAUGAUCCGCCACACUGGGACUGAGACACGGCCCAGACUCCUACGGGAGGCAGCAGUGGGGAAUAUUGGACAAUGGGGGGAACCCUGAUCCAGCCAUGCCGCGUGUGUGAAGAAGGCCUUAUGGUUGUAAAGCACUUUAAGCGAGGAGGAGGCUACUCUAGUUAAUACCUAGGGAUAGUGGACGUUACUCGCAGAAUAAGCACCGGCUAACUCUGUGCCAGCAGCCGCGGUAA
RNAcentral lists this ribosomal RNA (501 nucleotides) under uncultured bacterium. Its description in RNAcentral is "partial 16S ribosomal RNA". It matches the Rfam family "Bacterial small subunit ribosomal RNA", at positions 30 to 523 of the family's 1533-position model. The record is from RNAcentral.